GAUCCGCAGCCGGGCGGAUUAUUUGACACACGCGGUUGGCCACGACUUAUUACCAACUGCACCCGAGUUCAGCGGUGGUGUCAGCGGCGGCUCGCCAGAGCAGAGGUCUCUACCUCCAUGCCGCAUUCGUACUGACC
RNAcentral lists this non-coding RNA (137 nucleotides) under unclassified sequences. Its description in RNAcentral is "xerDC RNA". It matches the Rfam family "xerDC RNA". The record is from RNAcentral.